This 497-nucleotide ribosomal RNA is filed under the name uncultured bacterium. Its description in RNAcentral is "partial 16S ribosomal RNA". It matches the Rfam family "Bacterial small subunit ribosomal RNA", at positions 28 to 507 of the family's 1533-position model. The record is from RNAcentral.
GAUGAACGCUGGCGGCGUGCCUAAUACAUGCAAGUCGAGCGAACAGACGAGGAGCUUGCUCCUCUGACGUUAGCGGCGGACGGGUGAGUAACACGUGGAUAACCUACCUAUAAGACUGGGAUAACUUCGGGAAACCGGAGCUAAUACCGGAUAAUAUAUUGAACCGCAUGGUUCAAUAGUGAAAGACGGUUUUGCUGUCACUUAUAGAUGGAUCCGCGCCGCAUUAGCUAGUUGGUAAGGUAACGGCUUACCAAGGCGACGAUGCGUAGCCGACCUGAGAGGGUGAUCGGCCACACUGGAACUGAGACACGGUCCAGACUCCUACGGGAGGCAGCAGUAGGGAAUCUUCCGCAAUGGGCGAAAGCCUGACGGAGCAACGCCGCGUGAGUGAUGAAGGUCUUCGGAUCGUAAAACUCUGAUAUUAGGGAAGAACAAAUGUGUAAGUAACUAUGCACGUCUUGACGGUACCUAAUCAGAAAGCCACGGCUAACUACGUG